This 301-nucleotide ribosomal RNA is filed under the name uncultured bacterium. Its description in RNAcentral is "partial 16S ribosomal RNA". It matches the Rfam family "Bacterial small subunit ribosomal RNA", at positions 509 to 809 of the family's 1533-position model. The record is from RNAcentral.
CAGCAGCCGCGGGAAUACGAAGGGUGCAAGCGUUACUCGGAAUUACUGGGCGUAAAGCGUGCGUAGGUGGUGGUUUAAGUCCGUUGUGAAAGCCCUGGGCUCAACCUGGGAAUUGCUGUUGAUACUGGGUCACUAGAGUGUGGUAGAGGAUAGUGGAAUUUCAGGUGUAGCAGUGAAAUGCGUGUAGAUCGGAAGGAACAUCUGUGGCGAAGGCGACUAUCUGGGCCAACACUGACACUGAGGCACGAAAGCGUGGGGAGCAAAAAGGAUUAGAUACCCCUGUAGUCCCUGUCUCUUAUAA